Ornithorhynchus anatinus (platypus) is the source of this 138-nucleotide small nucleolar RNA. NCBI's taxonomy places the organism in Eukaryota, Metazoa, Chordata, Mammalia, Monotremata, Ornithorhynchidae. The record is from RefSeq and is a predicted model, not a curated record.
CCUCUCUCGGGGUCGCACCUGGAGAGUUUCUGGUACUCAACCAGUCUCGACUACGGGAGGGAGAGUCAAGCAGAGGCCUACUCGUUCCAUUCCUAGUUCGAGCAGUGGCUAGCGAGCGGAAGGCCAUCUGCUACAAGU